Molecule: ribosomal RNA, 700 nt
Filed under: uncultured beta proteobacterium
Lineage: Bacteria; Pseudomonadati; Pseudomonadota; Betaproteobacteria
Description: bacterial SSU rRNA
Rfam family: Bacterial small subunit ribosomal RNA
Source: RNAcentral
AGUGGCGAACGGGUGAGUAAUACAUCGGAACGUACCUUAUCGUGGGGGAUAACGCAGCGAAAGCUGUGCUAAUACCGCAUACGCCCUGAGGGGGAAAGCGGGGGAUCGAAAGACCUCGCGCGAUUAGAGCGGCCGAUGCCUGAUUAGCUUGUUGGUGGGGUAAAAGCCCACCAAGGCGACGAUCAGUAGCUGGUCUGAGAGGACGAUCAGCCACACUGGGACUGAGACACGGCCCAGACUCCUACGGGAGGCAGCAGUGGGGAAUUUUGGACAAUGGGGGAAACCCUGAUCCAGCAAUGCCGCGUGAGUGAAGAAGGCCUUCGGGUUGUAAAGCUCUUUUGUCAGGGAAGAAACACCGGCUCUAACACAGUCCGGGAAUGACGGUACCUGAAGAAUAAGCACCGGCUAACUACGUGCCAGCAGCCGCGGUAAUACGUAGGGUGCGAGCGUUAAUCGGAAUUACUGGGCGUAAAGCGUGCGCAGGCGGUUAUACAAGACAGGCGUGAAAUCCCCGGGCUUAACCUGGGAAUGGCGCCUGUGACUGUAUAGCUAGAGUGUGUCAGAGGGGGGUAGAAUUCCACGUGUAGCAGUGAAAUGCGUAGAUAUGUGGAGGAAUACCAAUGGCGAAGGCAGCCCCCUGGGAUAACACUGACGCUCAUGCACCAAAGCGUGGGGAGCAAACAGGAUUAGAUACCCUGCU